GAUGAACGCUGGCGGCGUGCCUAAUACAUGCAAGUCGAGCGAACAGACGAGGAGCUUGCUCCUCUGACGUUAGCGGCGGACGGGUGAGUAACACGUGGAUAACCUACCUAUAAGACUGGGAUAACUUCGGGAAACCGGAGCUAAUACCGGAUAAUAUAUUGAACCGCAUGGUUCAAUAGUGAAAGACGGUUUUGCUGUCACUUAUAGAUGGAUCCGCGCCGCAUUAGCUAGUUGGUAAGGUAACGGCUUACCAAGGCAACGAUGCGUAGCCGACCUGAGAGGGUGAUCGGCCACACUGGAACUGAGACACGGUCCAGACUCCUGCGGGAGGCAGCAGUAGGGAAUCGUCCGCAAUGGGCGAAAGCCUGACGGAGCAACGCCGCGUGAGUGAUGAAGGUCUUCGGAGCGUAAAACUCUGUUAUUAGGGAAGAACAAAUGUGUAAGUAACUAUGCACGUCUUGACGGUACCUAAUCAGAAAGCCACGGCUAACUACGUG
This 497-nucleotide ribosomal RNA is filed under the name uncultured bacterium. RNAcentral describes it as "partial 16S ribosomal RNA". It matches the Rfam family "Bacterial small subunit ribosomal RNA", at positions 28 to 507 of the family's 1533-position model. The record is from RNAcentral.